GGUGGCUCAGUGGUAGAGUGCUUGCCUUGCAAGCAUGAAGCCCUGGGUUCAAUUCCUCAGCACCA
This 65-nucleotide transfer RNA is filed under the name Dipodomys ordii (Ord's kangaroo rat). It matches the Rfam family "tRNA". Rfam says of the family: Transfer RNA (tRNA) molecules are approximately 80 nucleotides in length. Their secondary structure includes four short double-helical elements and three loops (D, anti-codon, and T loops). The record is from Rfam by way of RNAcentral. Lineage: Eukaryota; Metazoa; Chordata; Mammalia; Rodentia; Heteromyidae.